This 603-nucleotide long non-coding RNA is filed under the name Elaeis guineensis (African oil palm). Its description in RNAcentral is "long non-coding RNA (EGUI_LNC079089)". The record is from RNAcentral. Lineage: Eukaryota; Viridiplantae; Streptophyta; Magnoliopsida; Arecales; Arecaceae.
GGGGGCGAAACCCGGCUCCCGUAGGAGUCAGGACCUUCCAUUUUGCUUGAGCCGGCGUGAGGUUCUCGUUAUCAGCCUGGCUUGUGGGGGCACGUUAGGGCGCUGUAAGGCCUCUCCCCCCUCCGAUCUAAAAGAACCGGGCCUUUAACUUUGCUCAUGUCAGGAUGAGGUUCUCCUCCUGUUCCUGACAUGGCUGUGGGGGCACAUUAGGGCGUUGCAAGGCCUCUCCCCCCAUCCGGUCUAAAAGAAUCAGGCCUUUGACUUUGCUCAAGUUAGGGCGAGGUUUUCCUCCUGUCCCUAACAGGGCUGUGGGGGCACAUUAGGGCAUUGUAAGGCCUCUCCUCCCAUCUGAUCUAAAAGAACCGGGCCUUUGACUUUGCUCAUGUUAGGGCGAGGUUUUCCUCCUGUCCCAAACAAGGCUGUGGGGGCACAUUAGGGCAUUGUAAGGCCUCUCCCCCCAUCCGGUCUAAAAGAAUCGGGCCUUUGACUUUGCUCACGUCAGGAUGAGGUUCUCCUCCUGUUCCUGACAUGGCUGUGUUCUUGGAGGGAUCAUAUCCAGUCAUAAUACAUCCACGCUAGGUGGGAGGAGCAUGUUAGCUAAAA